Molecule: non-coding RNA, 23 nt
Filed under: Rattus norvegicus (Norway rat)
Lineage: Eukaryota; Metazoa; Chordata; Mammalia; Rodentia; Muridae
Source: RNAcentral
UACAAAUCGAGGUCCAGGAUAGC